AAAUUUGUUUAUUGAGUGGCAUCAGGCAUAUUGUUUAUUGAGUGGAAACAGAGGCAUCAGUCGUAUUCUCAGUUGGGUUGUCCUCCGAUCCGAGUCGAGUAGCAGAGCAGUAGAAGAAGACGUAGUUGAUUCUGAAUCGAUCAAUCAUCAUCAUCAUCAUCAUCAAUGGCGUUUAUGAGGGGAGAACCGCUGGUGGCGAAACUGGCAGUCCUGGCAAAGUAUGCAGUGCUUCCUGGAGCCAUGGUGGCUGCUCUGAUCUACUCUCCUCCCGACUACUCUUCUUCCAAGAAACACUCCUCCUCCUCCUCCAAGUAGAUUAUGGAUCUACAUCUCUCCUUCAAUUCCAACGGGAUACAAGGUGUCUCUUUGGAGAUGUGCUGGGCUCAGUUGGGUGUGGUUCUGGUAUGUAAUAAUCCUGUUAGCUCUUCUUUGUUGCUGUAUUCCAUAUGUAGGCAUAUGGGAAUAUGAAUAGUUUAUGUUCCUUUGAAGAACCUUUGAGUAGUUCUUUUCCUGAUACUUUACAAACAAUAAAAUGGAGUUGAAUUGGAUUAAUGCAAGUUGUUCCUUUAAUCCCAUCAUUUAAUUCAUGGAUCUUAUUACUGUGUGGAGUGUGCUUUGAAUUGA
Camellia sinensis is the source of this 624-nucleotide long non-coding RNA. RefSeq lists it as uncharacterized. The record is from RefSeq and is a predicted model, not a curated record. NCBI's taxonomy places the organism in Eukaryota, Viridiplantae, Streptophyta, Magnoliopsida, Ericales, Theaceae.